RNAcentral lists this long non-coding RNA (2193 nucleotides) under Homo sapiens (human). RNAcentral's name for it is "non-protein coding lnc-NMUR2-4:1". Lineage: Eukaryota; Metazoa; Chordata; Mammalia; Primates; Hominidae. The record is from RNAcentral.
UUGACAAAACUUCAUUUCUAUAAGUCAAGUGACUGAAUAUGUAUCCACUUGUUCUGAGACUCUAUAGGCUGUUCGACUGAUCAAUUUAUCAACUCCCUACCGAUAUCAUUCUGUUUUAAUUUCUGUAGCUGAUCCAUUAAUAUUUGCUUUAUCUAUUUAGGUGUUCCAAUGUUAGGUACAUAUAUAUUUACAAAUGUUAUAUCCUCUUGAUUAAUAAGUCUCUUUAUAUAAAUGAUGUUCUUUGUCUCAUUUUACUUGUCAAUGGUUCAGAUUAGAACAUGUCAACAACAACAAGAAGGAAUACUUGCUGAUGAAAGUUAAAGAAUACAUUGGACUUCAUUCCACAUAAAUGAAUUCUAUAUGUGGUCCUUGUGUGUGGUCAAAAAGGAGGAUCACUUUUACUUUAAGAAAAAUUUCAUGGUCUAUACAACUCAUAGAAAUCUCAAAAAUGGUUCCCUUGCUUUUGGAAUUGCAGGAUUAUAGAAAAGUUAGGUAACUCAUAAGAGUAAACAAACUUGAGGUAUGAGAAAAGGGCACAUGGAAACUGUCUUCAAAUAUGGGCAUGACCAUUCCACAAAGCAGCCAUAUGUUUGUUUCUUGUAGCUUCAAAACAGUGAAAGGACAAAAAAGAGAACAUUCUCAUGUGCAUUUAUUAAUAGAGACAUUAUGGUAAUGCAACAUUUUUAAUGGUCUAUAAUGGAAAGCUGCACAUUUUGUUGUUUGAAAGGUGUGGGAAAAAAAUACCAGUAACAUGGAAACACAAACAUUCUAGCUACAUAGUGGCUUGCCUUUGAGGUUCAUCCAUGAUAGGUUAGUCCAGUAUGAUGGCAUCCUUACACCUAUACACAUCACAUUCUGUGUCCCCUCCUGGAAACACAAGUUACUCAUUCUUCCCUCUAAAUAAACCCACAGAAUUCAGUCAACUAUUUAAAGACUACCCUAUGUCCCCAUCCAUACUGAUAGAUUCCUCCCUUCUUUGAACUUAUGUUGCAUGUAUUACUUGAGUCCUACAAUACCAUCUCUUCACUAUUCCCCUGGAUGAAUCUGACCUCCCAAGCAGAAAAAGGCAGAUCUGCAUCUUCUACUUCUAUGGUAUUUCCAGUAGAGCCCAGUGCAAAUGUGGAAACAGGCUGGUCAAAAAUAGCACAAAUAAUUUGUGUUACAAUCAAUAGGUUACCAGGUACUCCCAGAAACACUAUUUAGUUGAAGUCUUAUUAACAACCUACUAAUAUAAUUGUUGAGAAAAUGGAAGUUGAGUUAUGUAAGUGAUAUAUUUAUGGUCCCAUAGCUAAUGAAUAGGAUGAGUUCUGCUUCUCUGAACCCGAGCUUGGUAUGAUUAGGUCAUCCUGUUAUAUGAUCUCAUAGUACUCUGAACUUCUAUUGCCUCUUCAACUUAAUAAAUAAACCAGCAAUUAUUUGCUUUUACUUUUUCCCCUAAGUCUAUGAACUCCAUAUGGGUAAGAUUCUACCUGGUUCAUCCCAAUAUUUUCUAUAGUCUUUGGCAUGGAUAGGCACAAACUAAAUAUUUGUGGAAGAAAGAGAGGAGAGGAGAGGAAAGAGAAGGAAUGGAAGUGUCAAUAAAUGUUAGGCUGGAACCAGAGUCAAAGACUGGAGUUAUAGGUGAGUCUAUAGUUCUGUAUCUUACAUGCAUGUAGGCAAACUCUAUCUGACUCGUUCUGGGGGUUAGGAAUUGUGUGAGAGCAUUAAUGAGAAGAGAAACUAAGAAAGCAUGAGAGCAUGAUUUAAAUAGUAUAAGCAGUUCCAUACACCAUUCCCCUCAAUAAGCCUCAUGUCCAGUAGUGAGUGUGAGGUGGGAGACUUAGCAGAUCUAGUUCUUACCUGUGCUUCAUGGAAUGAACAUCUAACAGGGCUGUAUGUGCUUUCUGUUUAAUGACACACUGCACUUUUUUCUAUAUUACACAGUCCUGAAAAUACUUUAACUAUAUUCAUCCAAAGAAAUAGAUAUCUGUUUUGUCACUGGAGGAAAAACUGGCCCUGUUGAAUUUCUGAGGUAUUAUGUCACCUGCUUAGGAUAUUUUCAAGAAUAGUUGUAACUAAACCUGAUGUUUGCCUCCCAUGCUGACUUGAGAGUCCGUUUUUAAAUAUGAGGCUUGACUGCCUUGUUAGUCUUCAUUGAUGCACUAGUUCUACUGAACUUGCCUUUUAUCUUAAAAUAACAUCUUAAAAUUCUGU